UAAGGAAUAUUGGUCAAUGGACGCAAGUCUGAACCAGCCAUGCCGCGUGGAGGAUGAAGGUCCUCUGGAUUGUAAACUUCUUUUAUCUGGGACGAAACACUUCUUUUCUAAGAGGCCUGACGGUACCAGAUGAAUAAGCACCGGCUAACACCGUGCCAGCAGCCGCGGUAAUACGGAGGGUGCAAGCGUUAUCCGGAUUCACUGGGUUUAAAGGGUGCGUAGGUGGGUAUGUAAGUCAGUGGUGAAAUCCCCGAGCUUAACUUGGGUACUGCCAUUGAUACUAUAUAUCUUGAAUACCGUAGAGGUAAGCGGAAUAUGUCAUGUAGCGGUGAAAUGCUUAGAUAUGACAUGGAACACCAAUUGCGAAGGCAGCUUACUAUGCGGUGAUUGACACUGAGGCACGAAAGCGUGGGUAGCAAACA
This 422-nucleotide ribosomal RNA is filed under the name uncultured bacterium. RNAcentral's name for it is "bacterial SSU rRNA". It matches the Rfam family "Bacterial small subunit ribosomal RNA", at positions 355 to 774 of the family's 1533-position model. The record is from RNAcentral.